UACGAAGGGGGCUAGCGUUGCUCGGAAUUACUGGGCGUAAAGGGCGCGUAGGCGGGUCGUUUAGUUAGAGGUGAAAGCCCAGGGCUCAACCCUGGAAUAGCCUUUAAUACUGGCGGCCUUGAGUAUGGCAGAGGUGUGUGGAACUCCGAGUGUAGAGGUGAAAUUCGUAGAUAUUCGGAAGAACACCAGUGGCGAAGGCGACACACUGGGCCAUUACUGACGCUGAGGCGCGAAAGCGUGGGGAGCAAACAGG
Molecule: ribosomal RNA, 253 nt
Filed under: uncultured bacterium
Lineage: Bacteria
Description: partial 16S ribosomal RNA
Rfam family: Bacterial small subunit ribosomal RNA
Source: RNAcentral